CGGGAGGCAGCAGCAGUGAGGAAUAUUGCACAAUGGGGGGAACCCUGAUGCAGCAACGCCGCGUGGAGGAUGACGCAUUUCGGUGUGUAAACUCCUUUUAUAUGUCAAGAAAAUGACGGUAGCAUAUGAAUAAGCACCGGCUAACUCCGUGCCAGCAGCCGCGGUAAUACGGAGGAUGCAAGCGUUACUCGGAAUCACUGGGCGUAAAGGACACGUAGGCGGGUUGGAAAGUCAGGUGUGAAAUCCUACAGCUUAACUGUAGAACUGCACUUGAAACUUCUAAUCUAGAGUAUGGGAGGGGGAGAUGGAAUUAGUGGUGUAGGGGUAAAAUCCGUAGAUAUCACUAGGAAUACCUAAAGCGAAGGCGAUCUCCUGGAACAUUACUGACGCUAAGGCGUGAAAGCGUGGGGAGCAAACAGGAUUAGAUACCCGAGUAGUC
Molecule: ribosomal RNA, 439 nt
Filed under: uncultured bacterium
Lineage: Bacteria
Description: partial 16S ribosomal RNA
Rfam family: Bacterial small subunit ribosomal RNA
Source: RNAcentral